UACGUAGGGUGCGAGCGUUGUCCGGAUUUAUUGGGCGUAAAGGGCUCGUAGGCGGCGUGUCACGUCGGGAGUGAAAGACCGGGGCUUAACCCCGGUUCUGCUUCCGGUACGGGCAUGCUGGAGUGUGGCAGGGGAGACUGGAAUUCCUGGUGUAGCGGUGGAAUGCGCAGAUAUCAGGAGGAACACCGGUGGCGAAGGCGGGUCUCUGGGCCAUUACUGACGCUGAGGAGCGAAAGCGUGGGGAGCGAACAGG
RNAcentral lists this ribosomal RNA (253 nucleotides) under uncultured bacterium. Its description in RNAcentral is "partial 16S ribosomal RNA". It matches the Rfam family "Bacterial small subunit ribosomal RNA", at positions 524 to 776 of the family's 1533-position model. The record is from RNAcentral.